RNAcentral lists this long non-coding RNA (789 nucleotides) under Homo sapiens (human). RNAcentral's name for it is "HSALNT0101519". The record is from RNAcentral. Lineage: Eukaryota; Metazoa; Chordata; Mammalia; Primates; Hominidae.
UUAAGGAUCUGUGGACUGGAGCAGAGAUCAGGCUAUCCCUGGCUGGCGCCCGGGGCUCCCCCAGACUCCUCUCCCAGCCACAGGGCCGAGGGGCCAGUGCUUUUGGCUGACACCCCGCCUCCCGCCUGCAGCCCCAGUUUCCAGCCCUUGGCACAGAUAGGCUCUUGCGAAAGGGACGACUCCAACGCAGAGAUGCCCAGUCAGCACUGUGCCCUCUCCCGCCAAACGCGCUUACGCUGCCCAAGUGCACACUACGGUCUCCUUCACCCACAGGCUGCUCUAUAGAUGCGGUCUCAGUAUGUUGUCCAGGCUGAUCUCAGAUCCUUGGCCUCAAAGGAUCCUCCUGUCUGGGUCUCUCAAACUGCUGGGAAUACAAGCAUGAGCCACCACAGCUGACGAACAGCUAUUUUUGAAUAAAGUAAAGGAAGAGAGGGAGGGAGAGAAGAAGGAAGAAGAAAAAAAAGAAAAGAAGUGAAGGAGGGUUAACUACAGCCAAAGAAAAAGAAGCAGCCCAACAGAGAGCUCAGGAAAAUUACACUUCAUACAUCCAACUGCUAUGGAAGAGGAUGGAGGUGAGAAGCGGAGGGAGAAAGAAGGAUGUGAUAUUCCAUCCCCAUUAAGAAAAUUUUUCAAGCCCCCAAUCUGAACCUACUGAAUCAGAAUUUGAGGAGAUGAGACCUGUAUACCUAGAUUUUCAAAAGACUCUCAACUCUAUCCACUCUCAUCACUUCUAUUUAACAUUAUACUGGAGGUCCUGGCCAGGGAAGUAAGGCAAGUAAAAAAAAAUUC